UGUUCUGAAAGUCAAAGGUGACCUCUUGUGAUUAAGUUAAUUCUCAAAGUCUAUUGAGCAACAAGAAUACAAGAAGCUUUCUAUUCAAGUCUAGCUGCCGAUCUCACCGAGUAUCUAUUUCAGUAUCACCGAGUAUCUAUUUCAGUAUCCCCUGGCCUUAUAGGACUUGAAACAAAGUUCACAAGAAUUCAUUGUGCUAAUUAUCUUCUCAAAUCAAUCAUUCAGCCAUAUGGCAUUAAAUUCAUAGAGAGUAAAGGGUCAUUGCAAGCAGUUCUAACUUCUCUCACCUCAGACGAAGCUUGGGUCCUAUUACAUCUUCAAGAAACCGAGCAAAAGCAGACUACAUGGCUCUAAAGCUAUCAUUUCAUAAUAUUUAUUGACUAAUCACAAACACUGAACUCAAUUAAUUCUACAGAGAGAAUAGAAAUACA
Molecule: long non-coding RNA, 431 nt
Filed under: Salvia miltiorrhiza (redroot sage)
Lineage: Eukaryota; Viridiplantae; Streptophyta; Magnoliopsida; Lamiales; Lamiaceae
Description: long non-coding RNA (SMIL_LNC003316)
Source: RNAcentral